Molecule: ribosomal RNA, 468 nt
Filed under: uncultured bacterium
Lineage: Bacteria
Description: partial 16S ribosomal RNA
Rfam family: Bacterial small subunit ribosomal RNA
Source: RNAcentral
GACGAACGCUGGCGGCGUGCCUAACACAUGCAAGUCGAACGGAAAGGCCAUGCUUUUGUGGGGUGCUCGUGAGGCGAACGGGUGAGUAAAACGUGUGUAACCUGCCCUUGACUUUGGGAUAACUCCAGGAAACUGGGGCUCAUAUCGGGUAGGAGCUCUUGCUGCAUGGUGGGGGUUGGUAAGAUUCGGCGGUUGGGGAUGGUCUCGCGGGUUAUCAGCUUGUUGGUGGGGUAGUGGCUUACCAAGGUUUCGACGGGUAGCCGGCCUGGGAGCGUGACCGGGCACAAUGGUACUGCGAUACGGCGCAGACGGGUACGGGAGGCAGCAGGGGGGAGCUUUGCACAGUGGGCGCGCGCGUGAUAUGGCGACGCCGCGUGCGUGAUGACCGCCUUCGAGUUGUAAACCGCUUUCGCCGGAGACGAAGCGGUAUUGACGGUAAUGGGUAAAGAAGCACCGGCUAACUACGUG